GUCCUACGGGGGGCAGCAGUCGGGAAUAUUGCGCAAUGGAGGAAACUCUGACGCAGUGACGCCGCGUGCAGGAAGAAGGUUUUCGGAUUGUAAACUGCUUUAGACAGGGAAGAUAAUGACAGUACCUGUAGAAUAAGCUCCGGCUAACUACGUGCCAGCAGCCGCGGUAAUACGUAGGGAGCAAGCGUUAUCCGGAUUUAUUGGGUGUAAAGGGUGCGUAGACGGGAAGGCAAGUUAGUUGUGAAAUCCCUCGGCUUAACUGAGGAACUGCAACUAAAACUAUCUUUCUUGAGUGCUGGAGAGGA
This 305-nucleotide ribosomal RNA is filed under the name uncultured bacterium. Its description in RNAcentral is "bacterial SSU rRNA". It matches the Rfam family "Bacterial small subunit ribosomal RNA", at positions 335 to 658 of the family's 1533-position model. The record is from RNAcentral.